UACGAAGGGGGCUAGCGUUGCUCGGAAUCACUGGGCGUAAAGCGCACGUAGGCGGAUCGUUAAGUCGGGGGUGAAAUCCUGGAGCUCAACUCCAGAACUGCCUUCGAUACUGGCGAUCUUGGAGUCCGGGAGAGGUGAGUGGAACUCCGAGUGUAGAGGUGAAAUUCGUAGAUAUUCGGAAGAACACCAGUGGCGAAGGCGGCUCACUGGCCCGGUACUGACGCUGAGGUGCGAAAGCGUGGGGAGCAAACCGG
This 254-nucleotide ribosomal RNA is filed under the name uncultured bacterium. RNAcentral describes it as "partial 16S ribosomal RNA". It matches the Rfam family "Bacterial small subunit ribosomal RNA", at positions 524 to 776 of the family's 1533-position model. The record is from RNAcentral.